Molecule: unclassified non-coding RNA, 3157 nt
Filed under: Leishmania donovani
Lineage: Eukaryota; Euglenozoa; Kinetoplastea; Trypanosomatida; Trypanosomatidae
Description: gene:LdHU3.32.1640(CDS-product:hypothetical_prote in_conserved)
Source: RNAcentral
GCUGCUCGUCCCUCGACCCGCCUACUGUUUUCUCUCCUUUGUGCGCGUUUGUGUGUGUGUGUGUGUGUGUCGGUGUUUCUGUCGAGGCACUGCGCUACUCUCUAUAGCGAGGGCGUCUGAGCACGUUAUUCUGUUUGGCUGCCCUCUUGCUUUCAAACGGGACUACUGAACACCCGUUCGUUGUCAGAGUGCGCACGACAGCUUGUACGGUUUGGGCAAAAAAGGAGAAGAGGGAGGGAGAGGCGUCGGAUGGGGAGUGGAACGGAUCUCCGUAGGCCGGCACGACACACACACACACACACACACUUUACUUCGUAGCUGAUACCUCUUUUCCCCAUCGUCACCUUAGCGCCAUGGCUGAGACGGCCGGCGUGAGAGGCCGACGCACCUUCAUGGGACGUCAGCGCUCGCAACAUGAGGUGCAGACAGAGGCGUCCUUUGUGCCAGGUUGCAACAGUCUUGAGUACGCUUAUGAUCCGCUGGCGAGUGAGCAGUACGCGAGUCUUGUGGAGCUGCGGCAAAUGAUCCAUUCUUGCCUGACCCUCGUGGCCGGCGACGUCUACGAUGUGGUCAGCUUCAAGGAUAUUCUGUACCAUCUUGAGAGUGAGAUGCCAUCGUCGCUGCCUGUCACCGACCUGCUGCUUCUCUCCUCUCGGCUGUUCCGGCGCACCGCUGAGCUUGGUCGGCUGCUGAGCUGCUUCUUUGGCGUCGUUUUUGCGGACGACCACAACGACGAGCACUUCCGCUUCGCUGAGGUGCGUCUGCUUCAGCGCGAGAUCCGUGAGCUGAAGAGGCAGCUGAGCGCGUCGGAGGAGGAGCGGCGACGGCUGAAGGAGAUGCUCGACAAUGUCGGCCAGGUGGCAUACGACCACGGAAGGGCGGUGGAGCUGCUAGAGACGCACAACAAGGUGCUCAAGAAGCAAAGCACUGCCUUGGAGGACCAGAUGGCGCUGCUGUUUCAUCAACUCAACUCGGGACUCGAGGGGCACUGUAAGGCCGCGUACCAGCAGGUGACGGGAGAGAUGAUGGUGCAGGAGAGUCUCAACCCCGCACGCAUCACGUUCCGGCAAACCAUGGAUAGCCUCAGCGAGCAGCUCCGCGGCUCACGAGGGCUUAUCACGGACGUUCGGGAAGUUCUGCUGAGCUGCAGCCAGGGACGACGGACGGGCGAGGCGUACACGGCAGUCGAGCCAACCGUGCGAUUCAAGCUCAAGAUGCUGGAGGCAAAUUUCCAGCAGCUUAUGGGCCGGUUCACAGCGGUAAAGGACACGGUGGUAGAAACGGCACAGGAGCUGAUGAACGCGCUGCAGGAGCGCAAGAAAAUUCUCUGUCUCUCCUUCCAACACAUUCGUCUGUACGACCUGCAAAAUGCGAAAUUGCGCAACGCCCGCGCCAUCCUCGCGCAACUGCAGCACAACACGUCCGAGGUGGUGCGCCGGAUACGCGUCACCUUUCCUAGCGGCAACCUCACCUCUGUUGAUCGCUUCGGCAAUAUCAGCACGCAGCGGUGGCAUGGGGGGUACACGCUGGCGACGCUGCGCGGAUACAAGUUGACGGAGCAACAGCAGCAAGGCGAGGGCGAAAUGUCUGAAUUUGCCCGCAGCAGCACUGCUGGACCUUCCUUGACUGCGGGAGCGUCACGUAUGCUACCUGGCCUCACGGAGUCGCAGAUUAUGGCAGCGGAGAGCGAGAUGGCGGUAAUUGACGGAACCGUUCACAGUGCCACACCGGUGGCUCUGGCGCUGUCGCCUGGCCUCCGCAGUAUGCGAGUGUCCCACUCUGGCGUCACUCCUCCACCACUUCGCACCUCAGCUCCGCCGAGCGGCGGCGGCUCCAAGUUGGCGAGCGCGCGAGGGUCAAGCAGCACGACCGGCAUGCCAGUGCCCGUCAGCGCUCCCACGAGCGCACGGAGCGAUGACCCCGAUGUGCUGCCGUUCGAGACCGUCUCGGCUUUUCUCGACCUGAUGCACGAUAUCGAUGACGACAUGGAUGAACUGCAGGGCGCGUUGGUGCUUGACGACGAGAUGGGCGCGUUCCUGAAGAUGCUGACGCUGUCAGCGUCGACGACGCCGCGCGCCGACGCCCUGGAGAUCGCGGGCGGCCUUACCGGACGUGCGGCACUGCUGGAGCAGCAAGAGUACAACAUGGAGACGGCCUUGCAACCCACUGGUGGCCGGCCUGGUGGCACCCGCGGCGCACCGAGCUCCGCGUCUGUCUGCACCGGUAACGAGAGCUUCACGGCACAGGAGGCCAACUCGUUCUCGUCCUUGUUCUCCAAGCUGGGCAGCCCGAGUACGCCCUCAGAGGCGCGUGGCGGCUCUCGUGCCGAGAACGCCUCCUCCGAGGCUGUAAUGGCUCGCCAGGCGGUGCAGCUCCAGCGCCAGCAGAAGCAGAUCGCCAAGAUGCAGGAGGACUUUACCUCGAAAGUCGGCUUUCUGCGCCAGGUCUACGAGGCGCGUAUCGGUGAUUUGGAGGUGCGAGAGACGACUGUAAGCAAACGACUGGGCCUGGUAGGGGGCUCGCCCUUCCAGCGCGGCGCGGGAGACAGCGGCAGUGCUCGAUCGUCUCCGGGAGUCGGGAAGGGCGAGGAAGAGCCGCGGGUGUCUAGUAGCCCGGGUGACAAGGAGAGGCUGACGAAGCUGCGAAAGGAAUGGAGGCAGGCCAAGGGAAAACUGCAACCGAAUCGAAAACUGCGCGAGGCCACGGCCGAGCAGCUGCAGCUCAUGCAGAAGGACGAGAAACUCUGAUGGGGCAGUGCGCGUGCGUUGUCCAUCUACGCGACGGGUCAAGGCCCGCUUCUACAGUUUUCAUUCGGAUUACAACCGCCUCCUACACACACACACACACAACACACAGGGAGGGAAGCAUAGAGCAUCUCAAAUAUUCAAUCGUGCUCUUCAGCCGUUAGCUUCGCCACAAACAUCGAUCCACGAUCUUGCGCUGCAUUGACAGUCCGGGAUCUGCGUCGCAUCUCACGACCAAACCGAUGUAUAUAUUAAUGGCGCACGUGUGCCGCAUUUGUGGCACCCAUCAGUGGUUGUGGCGCUGUAGUGUGCCAUGAUGAACGCCUCCUUUUUUUAUCGGCGCAUGCGGGCGCGCACGCCUCUGAUAACUGCCACCGCCUCGCACUGCAAAUGCGGCGGCAUGAGUGGAGCAC